UAAAGGUGAAGCCUGCCCAGUGACAAUUUGUUCAACGGCCGCGGUAUCCUAACCGUGCAAAGGUAGCGCAAUCAAUUGUCCCAUAAAUCGGGACUUGUAUGAACGGCUUAACGAGGUCUUAACUGUCUCCUACAGAUAAUCAGUGAAAUUGAUCUUCCUGUGCAAAAGCAGGUAUAACCCCAUAAGACAAGAAGACCCUGUGGAACUUUAAAAUCUGCAACCACUCCCAUAAACAACUCUCACCCACAGGGCCUACUCCCCCGGGAUACCGCUGGUUUGCAUUUUUUGGUUGGGGCGACCUUGGAGACAAACUCAACCUCCAAAUAUCAGACAAUCCAUCUUAACCAAGAACUACCCAUCAACGUGCUAAUAGUAACCAGACCCAAUAUAAUUGAUUAAUGAACCUAGCUACCCCAGGGAUAACAGCGCAAUCUCCUUCAAGAGCCCACAUCGACAAGGAGGUUUACGACCUCGAUGUUGGAUCAGGACAUCCUAGUGGUGCAACCGCUACCAAGGGUUCGUUUGUUCAACGAUUAA
RNAcentral lists this ribosomal RNA (537 nucleotides) under Manacus manacus. RNAcentral's name for it is "partial 16S ribosomal RNA". It matches the Rfam family "Bacterial large subunit ribosomal RNA", at positions 1847 to 2591 of the family's 2925-position model. Lineage: Eukaryota; Metazoa; Chordata; Aves; Passeriformes; Pipridae. The record is from RNAcentral.